RNAcentral lists this ribosomal RNA (424 nucleotides) under uncultured bacterium. RNAcentral's name for it is "bacterial SSU rRNA". It matches the Rfam family "Bacterial small subunit ribosomal RNA", at positions 354 to 796 of the family's 1533-position model. The record is from RNAcentral.
GUUAGGAAUAUUGGACAAUGGACGCAAGUCUGAUCCAGCCAUGCCGCGUGAGUGAUGAAGGCCUUCGGGUUGUAAAGCUCUUUAGCCGAUGAUUAUAAUGACUGUAGUCGGAAAAUAAGCCCCGGCUAACUUCGUGCCAGCAGCCGCGGUAAUACGAAGGGGGCGAGCGUUAUUCGGAAUCACUGGGCGUAAAGCGUGCGUAGGCGGUUUUGUAAGUUGGGAGUGAAAGCCCAGGGCUCAACCCUGGAAUUGCUCUCAAAACUACAAGACUUGAAUUCGGGAGAGGAUAGCGGAAUUGUCAGUGUAGCAGUGAAAUGCGUAGAUAUUGACAGGAACACCAGUGGCGUAAGCGGCUAUCUGGACCGACAUUGACGCUGAGGCACGAAAGCGUGGGGAUCAAACAGGAUUAGAAACCCGUGUGUCC